Molecule: transfer RNA, 52 nt
Filed under: Mastigoproctus giganteus (giant whipscorpion)
Lineage: Eukaryota; Metazoa; Arthropoda; Arachnida; Uropygi; Thelyphonidae
Description: tRNA-Thr
Source: RNAcentral
UCUAAUAUAGUUUAAAAACAUAGGUUUUGUAAGCCUAAAAUUCAAAUUAGAA